Molecule: ribosomal RNA, 465 nt
Filed under: uncultured bacterium
Lineage: Bacteria
Description: partial 16S ribosomal RNA
Rfam family: Bacterial small subunit ribosomal RNA
Source: RNAcentral
GAUGAACGCUGGCGGCGUGCUUAACACAUGCAAGUCGAACGGAAAGGCCCAAGCUUGCUUGGGUACUCGAGUGGCGAACGGGUGAGUAACACGUGGGUGAUCUGCCCUGCACUUCGGGAUAAGCCUGGGAAACUGGGUCUAAUACCGGAUAGGACCACAUUUUGGAUGGUGUGGUGGAAAGUUUUUCGGUGUGGGAUGAGCUCGCGGCCUAUCAGCUUGUUGGUGGGGUAAUGGCCUACCAAGGCGUCGACGGGUAGCCGGCCUGAGAGGGUGUACGGCCAAAAUGGGAAUGAGAUAAGGCCCAGACUCCUAAGGGAGGCAGGAGGGGGGAAUAUUGCACAAUGGGCGCAAGCCUGAUGCAGCGACGCCGCGUGGGGGAUGACGGCCUUCGGGUUGUAAACUCCUUUCGCUAGGGACGAAGCGCAAGUGACGGUACCUGGAGAAGAAGCACCGGCUAACUACGUG